UACGUAGGAUGCAAGCGUUACCCGGAAUCAUUGGGCGUAAAGCGUGUGUAGGUGGUUGGUCGCGUCGACUGUUAAAUCUUCGGGCUUAACCCGGAAACCGCAGUCGAUACGGGCCGACUAGAGGUCGCAAGAGGGCAUUGGAAUUCCCGGUGGAGCAGUGAAAUGCGUAGAUAUCGGGAGGAACACCGAUGGCGAAGGCAGAUGCCUGGGGCGAACCUGACACUGAGACACGAAGGCCAGGGGAGCAAACGGG
Molecule: ribosomal RNA, 253 nt
Filed under: uncultured prokaryote
Description: partial 16S ribosomal RNA
Rfam family: Bacterial small subunit ribosomal RNA
Source: RNAcentral